GCCAGUGUAGCUCAGUGGUAGAGCAACUGAUUCGUAAUCAGUAGGUCGGGGGUUCGACUCCCCCUGCUGGCU
This 72-nucleotide transfer RNA is filed under the name Candidatus Aminicenantota bacterium. RNAcentral's name for it is "Candidatus Aminicenantes bacterium tRNA-Thr". It matches the Rfam family "tRNA". Rfam says of the family: Transfer RNA (tRNA) molecules are approximately 80 nucleotides in length. Their secondary structure includes four short double-helical elements and three loops (D, anti-codon, and T loops). The record is from RNAcentral. Lineage: Bacteria; Candidatus Aminicenantota.